UACGUAGGGGGCAAGCGUUAUCCGGAUUUACUGGGUGUAAAGGGAGCGUAGACGGUGAUGCAAGUCAGAAGUGAAAGCCCGGGGCUCAACUCCGGGACUGCUUUUGAAACUGUGUGACUGGAGUGCAGGAGAGGUAAGCGGAAUUCCUGGUGUAGCGGUGAAAUGCGUAGAUAUCAGGAGGAACACCAGUGGCGAAGGCGGGUUCCUGGACAUUAACUGACGCUGAGGCUCGAAAGUGCGGGUAUCAAACAGG
RNAcentral lists this ribosomal RNA (253 nucleotides) under uncultured Lachnospiraceae bacterium. RNAcentral's name for it is "partial 16S ribosomal RNA". It matches the Rfam family "Bacterial small subunit ribosomal RNA", at positions 524 to 776 of the family's 1533-position model. Lineage: Bacteria; Bacillati; Bacillota; Clostridia; Lachnospirales; Lachnospiraceae. The record is from RNAcentral.